RNAcentral lists this ribosomal RNA (515 nucleotides) under Phoma herbarum. Its description in RNAcentral is "eukaryotic LSU rRNA". The stretch from base 145 to 298 matches the Rfam family "5.8S ribosomal RNA". Lineage: Eukaryota; Fungi; Ascomycota; Dothideomycetes; Pleosporales; Didymellaceae. The record is from RNAcentral.
GGGGUUCCCAGAGUUUGUGGGCUUUGCCACUGUCUCUUACCCAUGUCUUUUGAGUACUUACGUUUCCUCGGUGGGCUCGCCCGCCGGUUGGACAAUUUAAACCAUUUGCAGUUGCAAUCAGCGUCUGAAAAACAUAAUAGUUACAACUUUCAACAACGGAUCUCUUGGUUCUGGCAUCGAUGAAGAACGCAGCGAAAUGCGAUAAGUAGUGUGAAUUGCAGAAUUCAGUGAAUCAUCGAAUCUUUGAACGCACAUUGCGCCCCUUGGUAUUCCAUGGGGCAUGCCUGUUCGAGCGUCAUUUGUACCUUCAAGCUCUGCUUGGUGUUGGGUGUUUGUCUCGCCUUGCGCGUAGACUCGCCUUAAAACAAUUGGCAGCCGGCGUAUUGAUUUCGGAGCGCAGUACAUCUCGCGCUUUGCACUCAUAACGACGACGUCCAAAAGUACUUUUUACACUCUUGACCUCGGAUCAGGUAGGGAUACCCGCUGAACUUAAGCAUAUCAAUAAGCGGAGGAAA